GAUGAAGAACGCAGUGAAAUGCGAUAAGUAAUGUGAAUUGCAGAAUUCAGUGAAUCAUCGAAUCUUUGAACGCACAUUGCGCCCGCUGGUAUUCUGGCGGGCAUGCCUGUCCGAGCGUCAUUUCAACCCUCAAGCCCCCGGGCUUGGUGUUGGGGAUCGGCGAGCCUCCGCGCCCGCCGUCCCCUAAAUCUAGUGGCGGUCUCGCUGUAGCUUCCUCUGCGUAGUAGCACACCUCGCACUGGGAAACAGCGCGGCCACGCCGUUAAACCCCCAACUUCUGAACGUUUGACCUCGGAUCAGGUAGGAAUACCCGCUGAACUUAAGCAUAUCAAUAAGCGGAGGA
This 343-nucleotide unclassified non-coding RNA is filed under the name soil metagenome. RNAcentral describes it as "partial contains 5.8S ribosomal RNA, internal transcribed spacer 2, and large subunit ribosomal RNA". The stretch from base 1 to 120 matches the Rfam family "5.8S ribosomal RNA", at positions 35 to 154 of the family's 154-position model. The record is from RNAcentral.